AUGGCUGGUUGGUUGGUUGUUUGGUUCGCUCGUUGGUUUGGGAUGGCUGUUAAGGCCUCUUUAUAUGCGCACCUUAAAAAACAACAACAAGAUGCUUAAUGCUUUUUGUCUCUUUUUGUGUAUUUUGUUUUUCGCGUUGCCUCGUGAACGGGGCACACUUAUGGCCACGCACACACUCAGGUCCAGAUACAGAUGCAGGGGCAGAGAUACAGAUACAUGGGGCAUAGGCUGCAAACCGGAGUUGGAGUUGAAGCUUGAAGCUUGGCCUGGGUCUCACUCUGACUCUGGGGCUGAGGCUGGUCUUUGGUCUUUUUUUUUGUUUGCUGUGGUUUGAGGCACAGCCAGAGCCAGAGCCGGAGUUGAAGUCGGAGUCGGAGUCGGAGUCGGAGUUGGAGGCACGACGAGAGCUGAGUAAAAAACAUGUUUGGAUUUAAUUCUUUUUAUUUAUUUUCACCAUCGUCGCUUUUUCUCCAUGUUGCUUUCUUUCUUUGCCUUUUUGGACAUGUAUCUGCGAGAUACUUUUUGUUGUUGCUGUUGCUGCUUGUGUGCCAUGAUGAUGACGCUGACAAAGGUCUCUCCCCACAGCCACAGAGAGACCCGUUGCCAUACGCGAUUUUAAUGAAGCACUUAAAAAGCAUAAAUGAAAAUAAAACCCAGCAAAGGCAGGGCAGCAGACACACAGCACACAGAGAGCACAGAGAUAGCCUCAGUGGCCCGUCCGUCCGCAGACCCUUGCCACAGAGAGUCCCCGCACCGCGAUCGGCACAAACGACAAUUGAUGUGGAGCCUGUGCCAGGGUCUGCCUCCAUGUGGCUGCAGUUGAUGUGCCCGGCCGUUCCGUCCUCAAUCCAUCUACAGAUACAUUACUUUUUACUGUCGAAGUUUGUCCCUUCAGAUGCGU
RNAcentral lists this long non-coding RNA (901 nucleotides) under Drosophila guanche. Lineage: Eukaryota; Metazoa; Arthropoda; Insecta; Diptera; Drosophilidae. The record is from RNAcentral.